Molecule: ribosomal RNA, 302 nt
Filed under: uncultured bacterium
Lineage: Bacteria
Description: partial 16S ribosomal RNA
Rfam family: Bacterial small subunit ribosomal RNA
Source: RNAcentral
GCAGUAGCCGCGGGAAUACAGAGGGUGCGAGCGUUAAUCGGAUUUACUGGGCGUAAAGCGUGCGUAGGCGGCUAAUUGAGUCGGAUGUGAAAUCCCCGAGCUUAACUUGGGAAUUGCAUUCGAUACUGGUUAGCUAGAGUGUGGGAGAGGAUGGUAGAAUUCCAGGUGUAGCGGUGAAAUGCGUAUAGAUCUGGAGGAAUACCGAUGGCGAAGGCAGCCAUCUGGCCUAACACUGACGCUGAGGUACGAAAGCAUGGGGAGCAAACAGGAUUAGAUACCCCUGUAGUCCCUGUCUCUUAUAA